Molecule: ribosomal RNA, 292 nt
Filed under: uncultured bacterium
Lineage: Bacteria
Description: partial 16S ribosomal RNA
Rfam family: Bacterial small subunit ribosomal RNA
Source: RNAcentral
GUGCCAGCCGCCGCGGUAAUACAGAGGGUGCGAGCGUUGUCCGGAAUUACUGGGCGUAAAGGGCGCGUAGGCGGCUUGGUAAGUCGGGGGUGAAAGUCAGCGGCUCAACCGCUGGACUGCCUUCGAGACUGCCUGGCUUGAGCAUGGUAGAGGCUGGCGGAAUUCCCGGUGUAGCGGUGGAAUGCGUAGAGAUCGGGAAGAACAUCGGUGGCGAAGGCGGCCAGCUGGGCCAUUGCUGACGCUGAGGCGCGACAGCGUGGGGAGCAAACAGGAUUAGAUACCCGCGUAGUCC